GGAGAAGAUGUUGGAGAAAACUUUUGGUGAUUUUCUGUUUGCAUCUCUUCCUAAUGAAAGUAGGACAUGCCCAAGCUGUCUUCAGGGAACUUUAAUCUUCAAAGUGAGCAGGUUUGGUGCAGGCUACUUUAUAGGUUGUGACCAACACCCAAAAUGCAAGUAUAUUGCCAAGACAUUAUAUGGUGAAGAGGAUGAAGAUAUCUCCUCUGAAGACACUAAAAGAAGUGUAGAACCGCCAAAAUUGCUGGGUGUCCAUCCUUCUUCAAAUGAGAAGAUUCUUAUGAAGAAUGGUCCAUAUGGAUACUAUGUUCAGCUUGGAGAAGACAAGAAAGGAUACGUUCCCAAGCGGGCUUCGCUUUCACAGGU
This 366-nucleotide unclassified non-coding RNA is filed under the name Hevea brasiliensis (rubber tree). The record is from RNAcentral. Lineage: Eukaryota; Viridiplantae; Streptophyta; Magnoliopsida; Malpighiales; Euphorbiaceae.